Molecule: small nuclear RNA, 107 nt
Organism: Nycticebus coucang (slow loris)
Lineage: Eukaryota; Metazoa; Chordata; Mammalia; Primates; Lorisidae
Source: RefSeq, a predicted model, not a curated record
GUGCUUGUUGUGGCAGCACAUAUACUAAGGUUGGAAUAAUAGAAAUAACAUUAGCAUGGGCCCUGUUCAAGGUUGAUACACAUAUUUAUGAAGUGCUCCCUAUUUUU